AUUGAACGCUGGCGGCAGGCCUAACACAUGCAAGUCGAGCGCGAAAGUUCUUCGGAAUGAGUAAAGCGGCGGACGGGUGAGUAAUACAUGGGAAUCUGCCUGGUAGUGGGGGACAACGUUUCGAAAGGAACGCUAAUACCGCAUACGCCCUACGGGGGAAAGGGGGGAGUCUUCGGACCUCUCGCUAUCGGAUGAGCCCA
RNAcentral lists this ribosomal RNA (200 nucleotides) under uncultured bacterium. Its description in RNAcentral is "partial 16S ribosomal RNA". It matches the Rfam family "Bacterial small subunit ribosomal RNA", at positions 30 to 233 of the family's 1533-position model. The record is from RNAcentral.